UACGGGAGUGGCAAGCGUUAUCCGGAAUUAUUGGGCGUAAAGCGUCCGCAGGCGGUCUUGUAAGUCUGUUGUUAAAGCGUGGAGCUUAACUCCAUUUCAGCAAUGGAAACUGUAAGACUAGAGUGUGGUAGGGGCAGAGGGAAUUCCCGGUGUAGCGGUGAAAUGCGUAGAUAUCGGGAAGAACACCAGUGGCGAAGGCGCUCUGCUGGGCCAUAACUGACGCUCAUGGACGAAAGCCAGGGGAGCGAAAGGGAUUAGAUAUCCCUGUAGUCCUGGCCGUAAACGAUGAACACUAGGUGUCGGGGGAAUCGACCCCCUCGGUGUCGUAGCCAACGCGUUAAGUGUUCCGCCUGGGGAGUACGCACGCAAGUGUGAAACUCAAAGGAAUUGACGGGGGCCCGCACAAGCGGUGGAGUAUGUGGUUUAAUUCGAUGCAACGCGAAGAACCUUACCAGGGUUUGACAUCCUGCGAAUCUUUUGGAAACGAGAGAGUGCCUUCGGGAACGCAGUGACAGGUGGUGCAUGGCUGUCGUCAGCUCGUGUCGUGAGAUGUUGGGUUAAGUCCCGCAACGAGCGCAACCCACGUUGUUAGUUGCCAGCAUUUAGUUGGGCACUCUAGCGAGACCGCCGGUGAUAAACCGGAGGAAGGUGUGGAUGACGUCAAGUCAUCAUGCCCCUUACAUCCUGGGCUACACACGUACUACAAUGCUACGGACAAAGGGCAGCAAACUCGCGAGAGCUAGCAAAUCCCAUAAACCGUGGCUCAGUUCAGAUCGUAGGCUGCAACUCGCCUACGUGAAGGAGGAAUCGCUAGUAAUCGCAGGUCAGCAUACUGCGGUGAAUACGUUCCCGGGCCU
RNAcentral lists this ribosomal RNA (857 nucleotides) under uncultured bacterium. RNAcentral's name for it is "SSU rRNA". It matches the Rfam family "Bacterial small subunit ribosomal RNA", at positions 524 to 1381 of the family's 1533-position model. The record is from RNAcentral.